Molecule: ribosomal RNA, 584 nt
Filed under: uncultured Rhodotorula
Lineage: Eukaryota; Fungi; Basidiomycota
Description: eukaryotic LSU rRNA
Rfam family: 5.8S ribosomal RNA (bases 220-373)
Source: RNAcentral
CUUGGUCAUUUAGAGGAAGUAAAAGUCGUAACAAGGUUUCCGUAGGUGAACCUGCGGAAGGAUCAUUAGUGAAUUAUAGGGCGUCUACUUGUAGAGCCUGACCUCCACUUCUAACACUGUGCACUUGAUGGCGAGGUAAUGGAACUUUCGAGUGAAACUACCUUGCGGCUUCAUUUUAAACAUUAGUCAAAGUAUGUAAUGAAAUAAAAAACAAAAAAAAACUUUCAACAACGGAUCUCUUGGCUCUCGCAUCGAUGAAGAACGCAGCGAAAUGUGAUAAGUAAUGUGAAUUGCAGAAUUCAGUGAAUCAUCGAAUCUUUGAACGCACCUUGCGCUCCCUGGUAUUCCGGGGAGCAUGCCUGUUCGAGCGUCAUUAUCAACCAUCAAGCCCUGCUUGGCAUUGGGUGCCGUCCCUGCUGUGGACGCGCCCUAAAGUAAUCGGCGGUGGUGUUGAACCUCAAGCGUAGUAAAUCUCCAGCUUUCUAGGUGAGACGCCGCUCGGCCUCGAGAACCCAUCACCUCAAGGUUGACCUCGGAUCAGGUAGGGAUACCCGCUGAACUUAAGCAUAUCAAUAAGCGGAGGA